AUUUCAUUGGCAUUUUUUUGAAGAUUUCUAUUUGUCCAUGCAUACAUUUGACUAUACAUUGACUAUACUUACUUAUACAGUAAGUAAAGCCAUACCUACAGCUUGUGUCCAAGUCCUGAUCAGUUCUCUAAUGCAUCUGCAGUCUAAGAAAGCUCCAGAGACCAAUCUUUUGGACAUAAAAUGGAGUUGUAAGAUUAGAAGCCUUCUACUCUGAGUGUUUGAUAUUCCUGGGGGACAAAGCAUCCUGAAUUUUAGACCACUUGUGCAUUUUAUUUAGUGAUUCUUAAUGCUGAAGGAUUAAUAGGCCAUCCCCAAAAGAACAAUUGAACCUGAUUCACCCUUCCUGUCUGAGAACAGCUUAAUGUCUGGAAAUCUUCAAUUUUCUCUUGUACAUCUGCUGGCUGCUUGGCUUAUAUAUCCUUAUGUAGCCUUUCUGCUUUAGAUAUCCUUACACAUCCUUUCUGCCUCGUGCUACAGUCUCACCUAUAAGGAUGCAGAAAGAUCUCUCAUGUGGGUUGCUGCUGUUCAAAUAAGCCACGAUUUUGUGGACAGAACAUCUUUCCUAAGGCCUGAGUUAUUCCUUUAUAUGGAGCUACUGCACACUGGAAUCAGCUGCUGUCAGCAAAAACAGCCUAUCUGAAAACCUACAAAGCUCCACAAGCCUUAACAGCUUAACAGACCACUACAGAACAGAGGUGUGAAGUUUACUGAAGUCCAAUUGAUUAAAGUCACAUGCCAGUCUUAGCUGGAAAGCAAAGAAAAGAGAUUCAAACAAUUUCAGAGGAUGUAACUAAACCACAUGUGGUUUACCAUUGAUCUUUACCAUAAAUCAGAAGAAUGAUGAAAACUGUGGAAAAAGGUAAUGAGAAUAAAGAAAAACUACUGUUUGCUCCCACAAAAGCACCAAGAAGUCUCAGCAUAUGGACUUCAUGCAAGGUAGUUUUCUCCUUUCUUUCCCUUGGGAUGAUUUCUGUAUUACACAGGAGGGGAAGAUUGGAGAGAUCAUAUUUUCUCUCAUCAACAUUUGUUUCAAUUCUCCAAUUCCAUUCCCAAUUGCUCUUCUCCCUGACUGAUGCAUAACAUCACAGCUGACAAGAUAGAAACAAUUUCCUCAUGGAAAAAAUUCAUGAAACCUACAUCUCCUCCUGUAGGUCUGUAGGUGUUCUCUUUUCUCUUCCUACAUACACUAUGGAAACCAUCAUUCUAUUUAACACUUAAUAUUGAAUCAAAGCCCAGAGAUUUUAAAACUUUAAACUACUGUGCACCAUCUACAGACAGACCCUUUGAAACUGUAUGGGAUUCAGAUGGAACUGUAAACAAUAUGUGAAAUAUUUUCCAAGACAGAGAAAUCCUAUUAUUAAAUUUAGAGCUAAUCAAAUAUCAUAUGUCAGUAUGAAACAAUCAAGACAGCACCUUACAGGCAUCUGCCAGUUUGCUUUAAAUAUCUGAUCACAGCAAAGGCCAGCACAAUUGAUGGGAUAGUUAUCUGCUACUGAACUUUAGUGCACAGAAAUAAAUUCAUUUUCAUCCAACA
RNAcentral lists this long non-coding RNA (1534 nucleotides) under Cyanistes caeruleus (blue tit). Its description in RNAcentral is "lncRNA (ENSCCEG00000022753.1)". The record is from RNAcentral. Lineage: Eukaryota; Metazoa; Chordata; Aves; Passeriformes; Paridae.